RNAcentral lists this ribosomal RNA (433 nucleotides) under uncultured bacterium. RNAcentral's name for it is "partial 16S ribosomal RNA". It matches the Rfam family "Bacterial small subunit ribosomal RNA", at positions 29 to 507 of the family's 1533-position model. The record is from RNAcentral.
AACGAACGCUGGCGGCAUGCCUAACACAUGCAAGUCGAACGAGACCUUCGGGUCUAGUGUCGCGCGGGUGCGUAACGCGUGGGAACCUGCCCUUAGGUUCGGAAUAACUCCCCGAAAGGGGUGCUAAUACCGGAUAAUGUCUUCGGACCAAAGAUUUAUCGCCUUUGGAUGGGCCCGCGUUGGAUUAGCUAGUUGGUAGGGUAAAAGCCUACCAAGGCGACGAUCCAUAGCUGGUCUGAGAGGAUGAUCAGCCACACUGGGACUGAGACACGGCCCAGACUCCUGCGGGAGGCAGCAGUGGGGAAUAUUGGACAAUGGGCGAAAGGCUGAUCCAGCAAUGCCGCGUGAGUGAUGAAGGCCUUAGGGUUGUAAAGCUCUUUUACCCGGGAUGAUAAUGACAGUACCGGGAGAAUAAGCUCCGGCUAACUCCGUG